Molecule: ribosomal RNA, 618 nt
Filed under: uncultured bacterium
Lineage: Bacteria
Description: bacterial SSU rRNA
Rfam family: Bacterial small subunit ribosomal RNA
Source: RNAcentral
UGAGUUUGAUCAUGGCUCAGAUUGAACGCUGGCGGCAGGCCUAACACAUGCAAGUCGAGCGGCAGCACAAGGGAACUUGUUCCCUGGGUGGCGAGCGGCGGACGGGUGAGUAAUGGCUGGGAACCUGCCCUGAUGUGGGGGAUAACAGUUGGAAACGACUGCUAAUACCGCAUGAUGUCUACGGACCAAAGAGGAGGACCUUCGAGCUUCUCGCGUCAGGAUGGGCCCAGUUGGGAUUAGCUAGUUGGUGGGGUAAUGGCCUACCAAGGCGACGAUCCCUAGCUGGUUUGAGAGGAUGAUCAGCCACACUGGAACUGAGACACGGUCCAGACUCCUACGGGAGGCAGCAGUGGGGAAUAUUGCACAAUGGGCGCAAGCCUGAUGCAGCCAUGCCGCGUGUGUGAAGAAGGCCUUCGGGUUGUAAAGCACUUUCAGCAGUGAGGAAGGUGGUGUAGUUAAUACCUGCAUCAUUUGACGUUAGCUGCAGAAAAAGCACCGGCUAACUCCGUGCCAGCAGCCGCGGUAAUACGGAGGGUGCGAGCGUUAAUCGGAAUUACUGGGCGUAAAGCGCAUGCAGGCGGUCUGUUAAGCAAGAUGUGAAAGCCCCGGGCUUAACCU